CGUGCCUGUAAUCCCAGCACUUUGGGAGGCUGAGGCAGGAGAAUCGCUCAAACCCAGGAGGUGGAGGUUAAGAUAAGCUGAGAGUGUACCAUUGCACCCCAACAUGGGUAACAAGAGCAAAAUUCUGUCUAAAAAAAAA
This is a long non-coding RNA of Cebus imitator (Panamanian white-faced capuchin), 139 nucleotides long. RefSeq lists it as uncharacterized. Lineage: Eukaryota; Metazoa; Chordata; Mammalia; Primates; Cebidae. The transcript has 2 exons. The record is from RefSeq and is a predicted model, not a curated record.